This 209-nucleotide ribosomal RNA is filed under the name uncultured bacterium. RNAcentral's name for it is "partial 16S ribosomal RNA". It matches the Rfam family "Bacterial small subunit ribosomal RNA", at positions 568 to 775 of the family's 1533-position model. The record is from RNAcentral.
UGUGUAGGCGGUUGUUUAAGUUUGGUGUGAAAUCUCCCGGCUCAACUGGGAGGGUGCGCCGAAUACUGAAUGACUAGAGUGCGGGAGAGGAAAGUGGAAUUCCUGGUGUAGCGGUGAAAUGCGUAGAUAUCAGGAGGAACAUCGGUGGUGUAGACGGCUUUCUGGACCGUAACUGACGCUGAGACACGAAAGCGUGGGUAAGCAAACAG